AGCGAACGCUGGCGGCAGACCUAACACAUGCAAGUCGAACGAACUCUUCGGAGUUAGUGGCGGACGGGUGAGUAACACGUGGGAACGUGCCCUUUGGUUCGGAAUAACUCAGUGUAACUUGUGCUAAUACCGAAUGUGCUCUUCCGGGGAAAGAUGUAUCGCCAUUAGAUCGGCCCGGGUCUGAUUAGCUGGUUGGGGAGGUAACGGCUCACCAAGGACACGAUGAGUAGCUGGUGUGAUAGGAUGACAAGCCACGAUUGCGCUGAGGCACGGACCAGAAUCCUACGGGAGGCAGCAGUGGGGAAUCUUGCGGAAUGAGCGAAAGCCUGACGAAGCCAUGCCGCGUGAAUGAUGAAGGUCUUAGGAUUGUAAAAUUCUUUCACCGGAGACGAUAAUGACGGUACCCGGAGAAGAAGCCCCGGCUAACUUCGUG
RNAcentral lists this ribosomal RNA (433 nucleotides) under uncultured bacterium. RNAcentral's name for it is "partial 16S ribosomal RNA". It matches the Rfam family "Bacterial small subunit ribosomal RNA", at positions 29 to 507 of the family's 1533-position model. The record is from RNAcentral.